This 67-nucleotide transfer RNA is filed under the name uncultured Desulfovibrio sp. It matches the Rfam family "tRNA". From Rfam's summary of the family: Transfer RNA (tRNA) molecules are approximately 80 nucleotides in length. Their secondary structure includes four short double-helical elements and three loops (D, anti-codon, and T loops). Lineage: Bacteria; Pseudomonadati; Thermodesulfobacteriota; Desulfovibrionia; Desulfovibrionales; Desulfovibrionaceae. The record is from RNAcentral.
GGGAAUAACUCAGUGGUAGAGUGCUAGCUUCCCAAGCUGGAGGCCGCGGGUUCAAAUCCCGUUUCCC